RNAcentral lists this ribosomal RNA (914 nucleotides) under uncultured marine archaeon. RNAcentral describes it as "bacterial SSU rRNA". It matches the Rfam family "Archaeal small subunit ribosomal RNA", at positions 1 to 921 of the family's 1478-position model. The record is from RNAcentral.
UUCCGGUUGAUCCCGCCGGAGGCUACCGCUAUUGGAGUUCGAUUAAGCCAUGCGAGUCGCGAGUCUUAGGGACUCGGCGUACCGCUCAGUAACACGUGGGUAACCUGCCCUAUGCUGGGGGAUAACCUCGGGAAACUGAGAAUAAUACCCCAUAGUUCACCACGCCUGGAACGGUGGGUGGAUGAAAGCUCCGGCGGCAUAGGAUGGGCCUGCGGCGUAUCAGGUUGUAGGGGGUGUAAUGUACCCUCUAGCCAUCUACGCGUACGGGUGUUGAGAGACAUCGCCCGGAGAUGGAUUCUGAGACACGAAUCCAGACCCUACGGGGUGCAGCAGGCGCGAAAACUUGGCAAUGCGAGCAAUCGUGACCAGGGAACUCCAAGUGCAUCGGGUAAGACCGAUGCUUUUCUUGACUCUUCAAAGGUCUUGGAAUAAGGGGUGGGUAAGGACGGUGCCAGCCGCCGCGGUAAUACCGGCGCCUCAAGUGGUAGUCGCUUUUAUUGGGCCUAAAACGUCCGUAGCCGGUUUGGUACAUUCGUGGGUAAAUCAAGGCGCUCAACGUCUUGAAUUCUGCGAGCACGGCCAGACUUGGGACCGGGUGAGGUGUGGGGUACUCUCAGGGUAGGGGUAAAAUCCUGUCAUCCUGAGAGGACCACCUGUUGCGAAGGCGCCACACUAGAACGGAUCCGACGGUCAGGGACGAAGCCUAGGGGCACGAACCGGAUUAGAUACCCGGGUAGUCCUAGGUGUAAACGCUGUGGACUUGAUGUUGGGGGCGCUCCGAGCGCUUCCAGUGUCGAAGCGAAGGUGAUAAGUCCACUGCCUGGGGAGUACGGUCGCAAGGCUGAAACUUAAAGGAAUUGGCGGGGGAGCACUGCAACCUGAGGAUUGUGCGGUUUAAUUGGAUUCAACGCCGG